This 320-nucleotide ribosomal RNA is filed under the name Stenotrophomonas sp. R9.12. Its description in RNAcentral is "bacterial SSU rRNA". It matches the Rfam family "Bacterial small subunit ribosomal RNA", at positions 207 to 506 of the family's 1533-position model. Lineage: Bacteria; Pseudomonadati; Pseudomonadota; Gammaproteobacteria; Lysobacterales; Lysobacteraceae. The record is from RNAcentral.
CAGGGGACCUUCGGGCCUUGCGCGGAUAGAUGAGCCGAUUCGGAUUAGCUAGUUGGCGGGGUAAAGGCCCACCAAGGCGACGAUCCGUAGCUGGUCUGAGAGGAUGAUCAGCCACACUGGAACUGAGACACGGUCCAGACUCCUACGGGAGGCAGCAGUGGGGAAUAUUGGACAAUGGGCGCAAGCCUGAUCCAGCCAUACCGCGUGGGUGAAGAAGGCCUUCGGGUUGUAAAGCCCUUUUUGUUGGGAAAGAAAAAGCAGUCGAUUAAUACUCGGUUUGUUCUGACGGUACCCAAAGAAUAAGCACCGGCUAACUUCGU